CCCUUAGAUGUUCUGGGCCGCACGCGUGCUACACUGAGUGGAUCAGCGGGCCAGGUUGCGCGAAAGCGUUUCCUAAUCUUUAAAUCCGCUCGUGAUGGGGAUUGACGGUUGCAAUUUUCUGUCAUGAACGAGGAAUACCUUGUAAGCGCGGGUCAUCAUCCCGCGCUGAAUACGUCCCUGCCCUUUGUACACACCGCCCGUCGCACCUACCGAUUGGAUGGUCCGGUGAAGCCUCGGGAUUGUGGUUCUUGCCGCUUUAUUGUGGCGUGACCGCGAGAACUUGUCUAAACCUUAUCAUCUAGAGGAAGGUGAAGUCGUAACA
RNAcentral lists this ribosomal RNA (322 nucleotides) under uncultured eukaryote. RNAcentral describes it as "partial 18S ribosomal RNA". It matches the Rfam family "Eukaryotic small subunit ribosomal RNA", at positions 1470 to 1796 of the family's 1831-position model. The record is from RNAcentral.